AAGAGAAUGGAAUUUCAGAAAAAAACUUUUUUCAAGUUAAAAAUUGAAAUUUUUUUAAUUUGUGCAGAAACAAUUAUUAAUAUUAAGGACAAGAAGACCCUAUGAAUUUAUAAAUUUUAUUUAAUAUGUAACUACUAUUAAAAAAAUUUUAGCUGGGGCGGCGGAAAAAUAUUUAAAACUUUUUUAAAAUAAAAUGACCCAUUAUUAAUGAUUAUAUGUUAAAUACUCUAGGGAUAACAGCGUUAUAUUUUUUGAUAGAUCAUAUUGACAAAAAAGUUUGCGACCUCGAUGUUGGAUUAGGAUACUUUUUUAAUGCAGAUAUUAAAAAAAGAAGUUUGUUCAACUUUUAAUUU
Molecule: ribosomal RNA, 353 nt
Filed under: Rhipicephalus sanguineus (brown dog tick)
Lineage: Eukaryota; Metazoa; Arthropoda; Arachnida; Ixodida; Ixodidae
Description: partial large subunit ribosomal RNA
Source: RNAcentral